GACGAACGCUGGCGGCGUGCCUAAUACAUGCAAGUUGAGCGCUUAAGGUUGGUACUUGUACCAACUGGAUGAGCAGCGAACGGGUGAGUAACGCGUGGGGAAUCUGCCUUUGAGCGGGGGACAACAUUUGGAAACGAAUGCUAAUACCGCAUAAAAACUUUAAACACAAGUUUUAAGUUUGAAAGAUGCAAUUGCAUCACUCAAAGAUGAUCCCGCGUUGUAUUAGCUAGUUGGUGAGGUAAAGGCUCACCAAGGCGAUGAUACAUAGCCGACCUGAGAGGGUGAUCGGCCACAUUGGGACUGAGAAACGGCCCAAGCUCCUACGGGAGGCAGCAGUAGGGAAUCUUCGGCAAUGGACGAAAGUCUGACCGAGCAACGCCGCGUGAGUGAAGGAGGUUUUCGGAUCGUAAAACUAUGUUGGUAGAGAAGAACGUUGGUUAGAGUGGAAAGCUCAUCAAGUGACGGUAACUACCCAGAAAGCAACGGCUAACUACGUG
This 497-nucleotide ribosomal RNA is filed under the name uncultured bacterium. Its description in RNAcentral is "partial 16S ribosomal RNA". It matches the Rfam family "Bacterial small subunit ribosomal RNA", at positions 28 to 507 of the family's 1533-position model. The record is from RNAcentral.